UACGUAGGGGUCACGCGUUGUCCGGAUUUAUUGGGCGUAAAGAGCGUGUAGGCGGCCAGGUAGGUCUGCUGUGAAAACUCGAGGCUUAACCUCGAGCUGUCGGCGGAAACCAUCUGGCUAGAGUCCGGAAGAGGAGAAUGGAAUUCCCGGUGUAGCGGUGAAAUGCGCAGAUAUCGGGAAGAACACCCGUGGCGAAGGCGGUUCUCUGGGACGGUACUGACGCUGAGGAGCGAAAGCGUGGGGAGCGAACAGG
This 253-nucleotide ribosomal RNA is filed under the name uncultured bacterium. RNAcentral's name for it is "partial 16S ribosomal RNA". It matches the Rfam family "Bacterial small subunit ribosomal RNA", at positions 524 to 776 of the family's 1533-position model. The record is from RNAcentral.